GUGAAAUUCCGUCGGAAUCCGGGAGGACCAUCUCCCAAGGCUAAAUACUCCCUAGUGACCGAUAGUGAACCAGUACCGUGAGGGAAAGGUGAAAAGCACCCCGGAAGGGGAGUGAAACAGUUCCUGAAACCGUGUGCCUACAAGUAGUUAGAGCCCGUUAAUGGGUGAUAGCGUGCCUUUUGUAGAAUGAACCGGCGAGUUACGAUUUGUUGCAAGGUUAAGCGGAAAAAGCGGAGCCGUAGCGAAAGCGAGUCUGAAUAGGGCGCAUAAGUAACAGGUCGUAGACCCGAAACCAGGUGAUCUACCCAUGUCCAGGAUGAAGGUAAGGUAAUACUUACUGGAGGUCCGAACCCACGCACGUUGAAAAGUGCGGGGAUGAGGUGUGGGUAGCGGAGAAAUUCCAAUCGAACUUGGAGAUAGCUGGUUCUCUCCGAAAUAGCUUUAGGGCUAGCCUCGAGGUAAAGAGUCAUGGAGGUAGAGCACUGUUUGGACUAGGGGCCCUUCUCGGGUUACCGAAUUCAGAUAAACUCCGAAUGCCAUGUACUUAUACUCGGGAGUCAGACUGCGAGUGAUAAGAUCCGUAGUCGAAAGGGAAACAGCCCAGACCACCAGUUAAGGUCCCCAAAUAUAUGUUAAGUGGAAAAGGAUGUGGGGUUGCUUAGACAACCAGGAUGUUGGCUUAGAAGCAGCCACCAUUGAAAGAGUGCGUAAUAGCUCACUGGUCGAGUGACCCCGCGCCGAAAAUGUACCGGGGCUAAACAUAUUACCGAAACUGUGGAUGAACCUCUUUAGAGGUUCGUGGUAGGAGAGCGUUCUAAGGGCGGUGAAGUCAGACCGGAAGGACUGGUGGAGCGCUUAGAAGUGAGAAUGCCGGUAUGAGUAGCGAAAGAAGGGUGAGAAUCCCUUCCACCGAAUAUCUAAGGUUUCCUGAGGAAGGCUCGUCCGCUCAGGGUUAGUCGGGACCUAAGCCGAGGCCGAUAGGCGUAGGCGAUGGACAACAGGUAGAGAUUCCUGUACCAGUGCUAAUUGUUUAACCGAUGGGGUGACACAGAAGGAUAGGGAAUCGCACGAAUGGAAAUGUGCGUCCAAGCAGUGAGUGUGAGAAGUAGGCAAAUCCGCUUCUCGCGAAGCAUGAGCUGUGAUGGGGAAGGAAAUUAAGUACGGAAGUUCCUGAUUUCACGCUGUCAAGAAAAGCCUCUAGGAAGAGUAGUACUGCCCGUACCGCAAACCGACACAGGUAGAUGAGGAGAGAAUCCUAAGGUGAGCGAGAGAACUCUCGUUAAGGAACUCGGCAAAAUGACCCCGUAACUUCGGGAGAAGGGGUGCUCUAUUAGGGUGCAAGCCCGAGAGAGCCGCAGUGAAUAGGCCCAGGCGACUGUUUAGCAAAAACACAGGUCUCUGCAAAACCGUAAGGUGACGUAUAGGGGCUGACGCCUGCCCGGUGCUGGAAGGUUAAGAGGAGUGCUUAGCUUCGGCGAAGGUACGAAUUGAAGCCCCAGUAAACGGCGGCCGUAACUAUAACGGUCCUAAGGUAGCGAAAUUCCUUGUCGGGUAAGUUCCGACCCGCACGAAAGGCGCAACGAUCUGGGCACUGUCUCAACGAGAGACUCGGUGAAAUUAUAGUACCUGUGAAGAUGCAGGUUACCCGCGACAGGACGGAAAGACCCCGUGGAGCUUUACUGCAACCUGAUAUGGAAUGUUUGUACCGCUUGUACAGGAUAGGUAGGAGCCGAAGAGACGUGUGCGCUAGCAUACGAGGAGGCAAUGGUGGGAUACUACCCUGGCUGUAUGACCAUUCUAACCCGCCACGCUUAGCGCGUGGGGAGACAGUGUCAGGUGGGCAGUUUGACUGGGGCGGUCGCCUCCUAAAGAGUAACGGAGGCGCCCAAAGGUUCCCUCAGAAUGGAUGGAAAUCAUUCGCAGAGUGUAAAGGCACAAGGGAGCUUGACUGCGAGACUGACAAGUCGAGCAGGGACGAAAGUCGGGCUUAGUGAUCCGGUGGUUCCGCAUGGAAGGGCCAUCGCUCAACGGAUAAAAGCUACCCCGGGGAUAACAGGCUUAUCUCCCCCAAGAGUCCACAUCGACGGGGAGGUUUGGCACCUCGAUGUCGGCUCGUCGCAUCCUGGGGCUGUAGUCGGUCCCAAGGGUUGGGCUGUUCGCCCAUUAAAGCGGCACGCGAGCUGGGUUCAGAACGUCGUGAGACAGUUCGGUCCCUAUCCGUCGCGGGCGCAGGAAAUUUGAGAGGAGCUGUCCUUAGUACGAGAGGACCGGGAUGGACACACCGCUGGUGUACCAGUUGUUCCGCCAGGAGCAUCGCUGGGUAGCUAUGUGUGGCAGGGAUAAACGCUGAAAGCAUCUAAGCGUGAAGCCCCCCUCAAGAUGAGAUUUCCCAUUUCUUCGGAAAGUAAGAUCCCUGAAAGAUGAUCAGGUAGAUAGGUUUGGAGUGGAAGUGUAGCGAUACAUGGAGCGGACAAAUACUAAUCGAUCGAGGACUUAACCAAAA
This 2503-nucleotide ribosomal RNA is filed under the name Listeria monocytogenes. RNAcentral describes it as "bacterial LSU rRNA". It matches the Rfam family "Bacterial large subunit ribosomal RNA", at positions 426 to 2925 of the family's 2925-position model. The record is from RNAcentral. Lineage: Bacteria; Bacillati; Bacillota; Bacilli; Caryophanales; Listeriaceae.